RNAcentral lists this ribosomal RNA (495 nucleotides) under uncultured bacterium. Its description in RNAcentral is "partial 16S ribosomal RNA". It matches the Rfam family "Bacterial small subunit ribosomal RNA", at positions 28 to 507 of the family's 1533-position model. The record is from RNAcentral.
GACGAACGCUGGCGGCGUGCCUAAUACAUGCAAGUCGAACGCUGAAGGAGGAGCUUGCUUCUCUGGAUGAGUUGCGAACGGGUGAGUAACGCGUAGGUGACCUGCCUGGUAGCGGGGGAUAACUAUUGGAAACGAUAGCUAAUACCGCAUAAUAGUAGAUGUUGCAUGACAUUUGCUUAAAAGGUGCAAUUGCAUCACUACCAGAUGGACCUGCGUUGUAUUAGCUAGUUGGUGGGGUAACGGCUCACCAAGGCGACGAUACAUAGCCGACCUGAGAGGGGGGACGGCCACACUGGGAAUGGGAAACGGCUCAGGCUCCUACGGGGGGAAGCAGUAGGGAAACUUCGGCAAUGGACGGAAGUCCGACCGCGCAACGCCGCGUGAGAGAAGAAGGUUUUCGGAUCGUAAAGCUCUGUUGUGAGAGAAGAACGAGUGUGAGAGUGGAAAGUUCACACAGUGACGGUAUCUUACCAGAAAGCGACGGCUAACUACGUG